Acromyrmex echinatior (Panamanian leafcutter ant) is the source of this 692-nucleotide long non-coding RNA. The record is from RefSeq and is a predicted model, not a curated record. NCBI's taxonomy places the organism in Eukaryota, Metazoa, Arthropoda, Insecta, Hymenoptera, Formicidae.
UUUGCAAUUAUUGUAAACAGACUAAAGUCAAAAAGUAUUGUCAAUAAGUAUUCAUUUCUUAAUUUAUUUAUUUUGUUGCCGUUGCUCUAAAAAAGAUAUAUAACUAAUAAAUUAACUAAUGUAUCUUAUUAACAAUAAGAGACUGGUACUUUGUUAUCCAAUGAAUAUAAGCGUGAUUUUUUUAAGCAGGAUAUGCACGAUCUUGUUGCGUGAGAAGAGAUAAUAUCUACGACAGUGAUUGUUAUUACGUAAAGAUAUCAAGCGAUAGCUAAUACUAACCAGAAGAGACUAAUCGUUGUUGCAAAACUAACCCUCUAUUGCUGUGUUAUCUCUGUCUCUCCUCAGUUCCCCACGCCAAUCACCAGCCCGGAGACUGAGCCUUGGCGCUGGCUCGAGUAAGUCUUUACCCAUGCGUCAUGAGACUAGAGAGUUGGAAACAACGAUGGACGGGACUCGGCGGGCAAACCGUGCGAAGUUUUAGCAUCGAUACUGAAAGCGAAUUGGACGAGCGGGAUCUCAGAAUUUGCUUGCAGGAUCAUAUCAAUACGACCACGCCAAACUCACCUGAGGUAUAGAAUUCUAUGUAUACCAAGACCAUUAGGCAGCUAAACAAUACUCCGUUAUCGAUGCGCGCGAAUCUUUUGUUCAUCGUCGGCUUUUGCUGUAGGAAAUAACGCGUAUGCGCUUAGAUC